CUGGGGUAUGCGGAGGAGCCGGAGGGGCCGAAGCUCGGGACUCCUGGCACUUACUGCUUGCAUCUGUUGAAGAGGGCUGGCCAAGAUCCCGUUCCUCUGGUCUCAACAGUAAGACCCAGGCUUGCGAUCUGGCAUUGCAAGCCACUCCUCCUUGCUCAUUCUCUGGGUCUGAGUUGUUUGAGUAACUGUACUACUUUUUGCUUUUCUCUUUAAAACUGUGCUUUCAACCAAGCGCGUGUGGUUAGGACAUAUAUCUGAGGAGUUUGCUCAGAGCUGGUUCUAACUGCAGCAAGAACUCUGCUAACACGGGAAGACAUUGUCCUGGAGCUUGUGUUUGGUUAGAGCCAGAAAGGUUGCCCUCCCACCUUGAGCCUGACAGAAGGUUCUGUGCAGUCAGAUCAGAAGAUGCGAGCUAACUACCACUUUGGGUAUUUCUCGAGAAUGAGCUUGUUGGAAAUGAGUGGGAAGUCUUGAGUGCUUGACAGUGAUCCUGGAGGGAAGGCUUCAAGGAAAGGUCUGUGGACCCUCACUACCUAGGUUCCCCCACAGGGUUGAAAGGUGGACCCUGACCCAAGACAACAGCAGUUAGCCAAGGCUGAAGGAACUGCCUCUGUGCAGUUGAGUUAGAACACAUCUCCCAGGGGUAGACUGAACAGGGGGAGCACUCCUGUUCUAAACAGGGCACUCUUAGUUUCAGCUGCAGUGGGAGGAGCAGGAAUCUCCCACAGCCCUGCUAAAGAGCCCAGGUGGUUCCCUCUCAGCACUGCAGAAGCAGGGCCUGGGCCCUUCAUCAGUGGAGACCGCUGAGCCCCCUUAUCAGGUGGUGGGAAGCCACUGAGCUUAAGGGAACUGACUCUGCACAGCCUCCCAGCAAAGUUGUGAGCUCAGUGGGGGCUGCUUCCAAAUACACAGAUCAAAUGGCAGGCUUUUCUCAAACAGCUGAUAAGCUAUCGGCUUUUUGUUUUGUUUUGUUUUGUUUUGUUUUUUUCUGUUUCUCCAACCUUAGGGGGCACUGUAUGCUGUGACUGAGGAUGGGGUAAGGAGAGAGAGAGAGAGAGAGAGAGGACACGCCCUGCCCUACAGCCUGAGAUGCCUCCAUGGGGUUAUUCUCCAUGUGACAGUCUUUGGGCACUCAUUUAUCAGAGAGGAUCAGCUGCGCCAAGAGUGGCCAGGGAGAUGUAGACACUCACAGAAUCUGCUAGACCAGGCGUCCAUCUUUUAGCUUUGCUGCACACUAGCAGGUUCACUUUGGGACUGACGAGUGUCAUCCCACCACUCUGUGCAAAAUGGGGAGGCUGGAAUGUAAUGUCACCUCAGUGUGUGUUUUCAUCUUAGGCUUCUAAUACCGUGCAGCUCUUGGUCCUUUAGAUUCACUUGUGAAAUCUGAAGCCUAGAUCCUUGGUGUUUCACCUCCCAGAGUCCUUAAAGGCAGAGGGUGUUGUUUUUUUUUUUGUUUUGUUUUGUUUUGUUUUUGGUCAGCUUUCUUCUCCUCUGACACAUUGCCUCAGGUGUCUUUCUUAAAACAUUUGUCAAGUGUUACCAAAGUGUUUUAAAUAGCCUGUUUGAAAGCUGCUCUGCCAGAGACUCCUGGUGUGUCUUUCUAGGAGCUCUUCCUUCCCUGAGAAGCUCUCAGAAACAUCUACCUUCUUGCAAACAAACACAAAACAGUUGGGGUGUGGGGUGGGGGAGCAGUCUGGCUCCAGCACAUCUUUUGUAGUCUUUGGAUACAAAGUAGAGACGUCCUUUAUCUUUUGGUCUUUAUCUUUAUAUUUUUGAAGACUGUUCCGGUGCAGCUUCUUUUGUUUUUAUGUUUCUUUUUCUUCCCUUGAACACAUGGGAAGCCUCCUGCCUCAGCUUCCAGGUUGCUGGCAUUACAGGCACUAGGCUGUCACAUUCAGCAUGUGUAUGGGUUUUUAAGAAGGACCAUUCCAGCAAACCCUAUCCCUGAGGAUGUUAGCCCAACGAACUCUUGUUUGCUGUUUCUCCUAAUUGGCAAGCAAACGUUUUUUUUUUUUUUUGCAGAGUUCAUUGUAUAUCCUUGACCGUGAAUUUUUCUGACUUAUCUCUCUUCAUAGAUCAUUUGAGAAGAGUUGAAGAGGAUACACACACACACACACCCCUACCUCAUGGGCAGCCUGCUAGAGAGGAUAGUUACAAAAGUCUGAUCUUCCUAAAGAAAUUUGAGUAAAUUUGAGUUUUCUGUCCAUCCCUGUGACUUGGGCACAUUUCAGAAAUUCUGAGGUUACUCACAGUUUUCAAUCGGCAAGAGGCAAACGGCCCUCCCGACUCCAAGUCUGCUCUCUAGAGGCUGUGGGUUUAAGGUGAAGCUCUGCAAUACAGAAAAGGCUGGCUGCUUUGUCCACAGCUGGGCUCAAGCACACCUCAGCGAAGUGAUGAUAAAGAUCAGGGGCUUACUCUUCCCGUGUGCCCAUGUCUGCUAAAAGGGCUACUAAGUUCCUUCUCCCGGGAUUGAGGUCCACACCAGGCCCUAGGCCCCUGUAGGCCUAGGCCUGGAACAUUUGGCUACAAAAGUAGCCACACCAGUGUGGAGAUGGUGACGGUCCUUCUCUUUGCUAGCGGCUGUCCUACCCACCCUCAACGCAUGAGUGGCUGCCUGGAGUGUUCCUCUACUACGCCCCCUUGUGGUCUGUUUACCUGGAUGCAAAGAAGCUCUUCCUAGAGCUGUAUAAUACUAACACUGGGGUAAGUGUUAGUAUUGCUUCUUGCUCCAUGGAAAAAUGACACUUUAAAAAGUGACAGGAUGUAAAAUUACGAGAUGACAUAAGCAUAUUCCUGAGGCAUACCUAAUUUAAAAAAAAUAAAUAUUCCACAGGCUUAUAUAGAAAUACAAACUGAACUGUAUGUAACCUGAGCAUUUGGGAGAGGGAGGCAGAAGGAUCUUAAGUUCAAGUCCAGCCUGGGCUAUGUAUCAAGACCCUCGCUCAAAACAAAACAUUUUAAAUAGUGGUAUUUUGGCGUUAGAGUUACGUGUGAAAGAUACUAUCGCCUCAGUAGAAAUUUCUUACCUGUUAACUUUUAAAGCAUCAAGUCCAGAUAACUGAAAUAGUAGGAUUUGUUUCAAGGCCUGACCUAUCGACAGCCAGGAAACUGGACAUCUCUACCCUCACACAGAAGCCUUGGUGUUAAGCAGUCACCUCUGGCCAUCACUGGAGUUAGGCCUUACCUCAGAAGGCCUGAGAAACAUUGGUCAACUAAGCCCAUUUCUCUAAGCUCCAAGUCUGCCCACUUGUAAACGAAUCUAAUCAUGGUAAAGGCGUUUGAGGGUUAUGUUAGUUUACUAGCAUGACAAACAUGGUGUUUGGCGUCUGGGAGAUGGUGUUAGCUCUGUGGUGAUCGUGAAAAUGUUGCUGCUUUCUUGCCACCAAACUUUAGGAUGCUUUUGCAUUCUAAGGGGUUGGAUACCUUUUAUAAGCCAUUGUAGUUGGCCAUAUUAUCUUCAAGUCCUGUAUUUUCUGCCUGGUACUGCUCUCUGGUUCCUUGACUGCCUGCCUGGGGUGAGGCUGUCCGGCACAGGUGCAGAGCCGUCCUGAGGCCUUGGACAGUUGGGUCUUCCAUCACGGUUCCAAGAAGCACAAAAGAGCAGAUACUCUUCCUCUUUCCCACACGUACACGUCCUUAUACUUUUUCUUCCUGGAGGCAGCUUCCACACUUGAGUCUUGACUGCAGGUGGCUGCUCAGACUCCCCCGGCCGCAGAAACCUCAGACUGGUGUGCACUAGAGGAGAGCAAGUCUGGGACUUGGCAGAGCCAGCAGCACACAUGGGUUCCAAUCCCUCUGGGACUCGUUACAAAAGCUGGGUAGCUGGCCAGCAGGGCUGGCUUUUGCCAGCUGUCUUCCGUAGGUUGUGACCUGGAUGUAAUCCAUACUGAAACUGUAGAAUGCAAAGAUCCAGGUUUUCCAUGACAGCAUCAAGCAGUUUGUUUUUUGAAAUGCAUACAGUGUGAACACAGACGUCCACCGAAUCCCCAGUGACUCAGGUUUGGGACAGAAGCCAUUCAAAUGAGCUCAGGACUUGGCUCAGUGGUGUUGGCAGGGAUGGGUUCUGCUAGGCUUUGCCAUGCCGGUUGCUGAGCCUGGCUGCCUGCUGUCUUCCAGUCCUGCCUCACAAGCUUCUUUCUGUCUGUUGGAUCUCAUACUCUACUCCGGUCGGCCCUCUGUCUGUGUGAUCAGCCUCACAGGGCCUUCUCAGCCAGCUGUCACUCUGGUCUGCAGGUCUGCUACAGUGGAGGGGGUCGCCAUGGGAACCCCAGCCUUGGCCACGAAGGGCCUGGUGUGUAUGAUCCUGUUUCCUUAGAAGUGAGCAGAGUGGGAGAGAGUGGGAGAGACUGUGCAAAGGAAAAGUGGUAAGAGAAUGUGAGAGGACGUUGGGGGGCUUUGAUGACCGUGACACCGCAUCUAAGUGUGAGCGGCUGUGUGUGGCACCAGCUGCCAUUGUGUUCAUGAAGGUGAGUGUGCGGAGGGGUGAGUGGGCACGUAAACACCACAAUUGCCAGCCAGGCUUGGUCUUCCCUCGUGAACCAGAGUGUGAGUGGAGGUAUAGAGGGCACGUCGGACACCACUCGUUCCAUCUAGAACUGACCUUCCUGAGCCAGUGUCUGAGAGGCGAGUGGGCAGGCACACCAUGACUGACAUCUGGAACUGGGUUCAUUGCUCUUCUCCCAUCGUGUGAAAACCAGCAGCAGGAGCCGCCGCCAGUGGCAUGCAUAGCCCAGCUGGGUCUCAGCCUACCCGUACGCUUUUCCUCUCCCUGUUCGUUCAUUCAAGACCAGAAGGAUGAAAUCACUAAGAAAGGGGAGAGGAACGAAACCAGGGUCUCAGGAUGAAGACGAGCCUAGGCAUAAUUUUACCUCUGAGAAAGUCACCUACCUUAUCCUGAGAAGGCAGAGUGACCUUGGUGAGCAACUUUGGAUCUCCCCAGGGAAAGGGGACUUAAGGAGAAUUGUGAGGACAAGCCAGCUCUCCCUUUUGGUGAAAGCCAGGCACAGGAGACUUCUGGCUUCCCGGAUGGGGGCUCUUGGUUUCUCUACACAGACAAUGCCUCUGUUAACAGUUUCCUGUUUGAAUCAGUUUUACAGUAUCACAGGUUGGGCCUACAGAGAUGGUAAAGAAGCAAGUGCCACUCUCUUAGAAAAUGCAGAUUCCAUAUUAGGUGGUUCAUGACCACCUGUGACUCCAGCUACAAGGGGAAUACAAUACCUCCGGCCUCUCCAACGGGAACUGUGUAUAUAUAUACACACACGUAUGUGUAAAGGGAACCAAAUAUAUAUAUAUAUAUAUAAAGAGCCCAGUCAUACCAUGAAAUAAAGACUAGUGUUUAACCACAGAUAGACCAGGCAGCCAUUAAUGUGAAGAAUCCAGAGGCUGGGAUGCAUUUUUUAAGAAGAAUCUGUUGUAUGGGCCUGAAGAAAAUUGCAAACGCUCUUAAAAUUCAGAUACAGUGUCUGAUUUGCAAAUAGAAUAUGAAAACAGUCUGCCGCGGCACCUACUUGAUUGCAGGCAUAAACCACCGUGAAGCGGCUGAUGCUCUGUGUUCAACCUACAUUAGCAAGUCAUGGGAUAAUGGCUUUGACGUGGCUCUGAAUGUUUAUUUACCUGAGUGAUGUAGGCACUCUGUUUUAAGAGCUAAGGCAAUGGUAGUAUUUUCCAAAGCUGUAAAACCACUUUAAAAAAAAAAACUAUAUCUCUGUGUUAUAGUACAAAUAUGAGUUUGUUAUUUAAUAAUGUUCUUUCAAGUAACUUUAGUAAAUAGACACACACACCCUAAAAAUACACAUGCUGAGAAUGUAAAGCCAGUAUUAAAAUACUGCACAUACUUGUAACCCUAGGACUCAGGCCAGAGAGUGACAGGUUCCAGGCCAAUCAAUAAAGGUGACGAGGUCUGAUCAUGUCUUAAAAAAACAAGGGUGGGGCCUAGGACUCAGCAGUAAUAAGCUGGUUUAGUAUGUUAAGGUUCCAUCCUCAACACUGCUUGCUUUAUAAACAAACAGUGCAAGCCAGUGCCCCACAACUCUAGUUUCAGAUCUGAGUGGCUGUGUUCAGUCACAGAGGACAAUCCCAGUGGCCCAGUAUUGAGCGGUGACAUCUGGUGUGCUGCAGGAAUUGCUUAACAUUUGCACUUGGAGAUCCACUGGCAAGUAGUUGACUUAUUUCUGGAAGAUUUCACUCCCAGUCCCUUCAGGGUUUGGGUUUUGUUUGGUUGGCUUUAUUUUUCACUCACUUGGGGGUGUAACUCCUGGAAGUACAUGCCUAGUAUGUAUGGAGUCUUAGGGUUGAUUUAAUGUGUAUGUGUAUGUGCCUGGAUGUACAUAUGUGGACCAUGUGCAUGUAGAGGUCAGAAGAGGAAUUGGCUGCCCUGAGACUGGAGUUAUAGGCUGCAGUGAGCUGCCAGAUUGUGGGUGCUAGGAAGCAAACUUAGUCCUCAGCAAAUUUAGCACAUGCUCUAACGGCUGACCCAUCUCUUCAGUCCUAUGCAAGCUUAUCUUGAAUUGCCAAACAGGAACUAUCUUUCAUGACGGAUGAGUACUUUAUUAAAUACUUUAUUAAGUUCUCCUAGUAACCCACCCACAGUUCAUAUGUAGGUUCUCACUCUGAAUGGGAAAUAAUUUCCCAUAACUGGGAAGGUAUAAACAAAACCAUGUGUGGGAUGCACGGAGUGGAAGCUGCUGCUGCUGCUGUGCUGGAAAAGACCUAGAAAGGCUUGGACAAUGGAGAGACCCCUCUUCCUUACAGACUGUAUCUCCAUGCCCUCUGCUGGCUGGUUCUGUGUCUAGAAAGGCUUGGACAAUGGAGAGACCCCAUCUCCCUUACAGACUGUAUCUCCAUGCCUUCUGGAUUGGCUAGUUUUGUGUCAACUUGACACAAGCUGGAGUUAUCACAGAGAAAGGAGCUUCAGUUGAGGAAAUGCCUCCAUGAGAUCCAGCUGUAAGGCAUUUUCUCAAUUAGUGAUGAAGUGGGGAGGGCCCACUGUGGGUGGUGCCAUUCCUAGGCUGGUAGUCCUGGGUUUUAUAAGAAAGCAAGCCAAUAAGUAACAUCCCUCCAUAGCCUCUGCAUCUGCUCUGGCUUCCUGACCUGCUUGAGUUCCAGUCCUGACUUCCUUUGGUGAUGAACAGAAGUGUGGAAGUGUAAGCUGAAUAAAUCAUUUCCUUCCCAACUUGCUUCUUGUCAUGAUGUUUAUACAGUUAUAGAAACCCUGACUAAGACACCCUUUCUUGGCAUCAGAGGAUUCUUAAUUGGUAGCCAUUAGUUUUCAGUAACUACAACAGCAGCUUCUCUCAGGGCCUUGACUGUAAGGUCCUUUUAUCCUGACUAAGAUCUGAUUGUCAUCCAGAGGACUCAUUCCAUUUAGGCUGCCGAGCCUCCCACCCCCAUGCCUGACGCCGAAGCACAGUCUCCUUGCCAGUUCCUCAGCCAGGGCGGUGCUGUUAGUAGAAAGAGCUAGCCUGUGGACACCUGGGGAGAUGGUGUCCGCAUUACUGCCAAGCCCUUUUAGUAUUGUUUUUAAUUAUUAACAUCUGAAGUGCCACCCAGUUCCUCUCCUCCUGUUAUUACUAUUAAUCAUAUACCAAGUUGACAGGCAGACAAUAUUGUUCCACAAAGACAUGCCAGCCAUCAGCUGACAACCCUUUUCCUUAGAUGACCUCUGACUCCUGGUUUGGUCUGGGAACAUCUGCUUUAUCCAUAAACUCAAAGUUUUCAGAAGUGACCCAACUAUAGAGAGUUUGUGGCUAGACAGCAAGAAGACAGAAAGCCCAAAAGCAGCCUCCUUCCCUCUUAUCUCAUAAAUCCGCAGGCUCCUCAGGUGUCCCUACCUUAUACAGGUUUCUUAGCACAUCCUCUAAAGGACUGUGAACCCAUAGUUGCUGCCUAGGAACAAGUGGAGUGUACUCUGCAAAGAUCCCUGCCAGCAAACCCAGAAAGCUGAGGCCAGUGUGGUGAGAUGUCAUGGACUCGAAUCUGUUCAUUCUAAAAGACUAAUCCUUUAGUCUCAGAUUAUAUCCUUCUGUGGUGUUUCUAGUGUCCUCAUUUUAGCAACAUAAACACAUUGUUCUCCUACUUGUUGGCUAACCAUUUGCUCAUAACUUGUAUCCAAAGCCUUUGCCUCUGAGUUUCUUUAAAAAUUCGUCCAUGUCUAUCUCUUCUUUCCAAGGCAGAACAGUGGCAGCCUACUUUCGGCCUUGUCUUCCAUCUUUACUGAAGGAUGUUCCAUGGUCGUUCCCAUGCCUGUGGUACAAACAGUCUAGGUGGCCAAGAGUGGCUUGGGAGCCAGCUGUGGCCAGUUAUGGUGUGUCCUUAUCAGUCUUUGUAAUGUCAACCCUUGAACUAAUGCAAGAAAAUGGUCCUCCUGACAAUAGGUCUUGACCCAAAGAUAGCUCUUGGGGACUGCUAAAUGACUUGUGGCUUCUGGCAUACAAGAGAACUUGAGAAAGAGAAAAUUUAAAAGAGGGAAGCAGACAGGUAAAUCCCUGCUCAGGGACGCUCUUCACACCAACAUGAACAAGAUAUGGUCCCUUAUGCUUAGUGAUUGAACUCUUAGUCAGUGAACUUAUGUCAGCUGAACUAAGAGUUCAUUCACUAAACAUGAUCUUCCUCUACUGUACGUGCACACACACAUACACACACAUACACACACACACACCUGUGAAUUGCACCGUUUUCCAGCAGCAGAGCAGAAGUGACUCUCUGCAAUUGUCUGGCUCCUCUCGGAGAACUUUCUGACCCCAAGUUCAUGCUAUUCCUAGGGACCCCACCAUUUUUCUGCCUUGUCAUUUCCCCCCACAGCUCUCUUCCUCUCAAAGUGCCCUGGCCCUCCUGUGAGCAGCCAGGCCAUCUCUGUAGCUGCCCACCCCUCCUUCCCUCUGCAGGCAGCUGGGCACAGCUGGAAAGUUUGAGUUUUGUGGUUAAAAUGAGACUGGCCUCUGGAUACCUGAAAAUCAAUUACAUUUAGUUAACCGCUUGUGUGUAUGUGUAUGCCUCUCAACAGAGAGCCUUUUCCUGUAGUCAGGGAAAGGAUUUCAGUACACAAAGAAGAGGCCAGCCAGUGGCUUGGCCCUGACACAGGCUUCCCGUUGGCACAAACUGCCAACCUCUGAGGUUAGUGCUAUCGACUGAAGGUCCUCCUCCAGCUAUUUCAAGAACUUUUCAGGCUGGCUUCAUGUAACAACGCAGUGAAAUCUUAGGACUCUAGUUUUCAUUCAUCUAUUGAGCAAACAGUCACCGAGCACAGACUAUAUGUCAAACACUGUUCUGGAAAACGGGGACACAAAAGUUUCAGACAGUUCUCUCACCCACAUGGGAUUGGAACUCAAACUGAUAAAGGCGGGAAAUAAAAAACGUAAGUAAAUUGCGUAGAAUGCUAACGGAGGUGACUCUCAUGGGGAAACAGAAGUGGCUUGGUUAAUUUAGCCCAGGUAUCCUGGAACAGUAUGGGAAAACUGCAUAGGUCCUAUUAGGUCAUCGGGUGGAAUACUGAGGAGAGAAGACUAUCUGAUGCCUUGAAGAAGGAAAAGAGAAAUUGACCAGGAGGCUAUUCAGAAAAAGAGCACUCCAGUCAACCAAACAAAGGUCAUUAGGUGUCCCUGACACUGAGGUAAGAGUGACAAAGAAAUGAAGACAGGAAGCUUCUGAACUAAGCAGGUAUAAGAAUCAAACUUGAGCCUGCACAGUUACUAAGCUGAA
Molecule: long non-coding RNA, 9696 nt
Organism: Mus musculus (house mouse)
Lineage: Eukaryota; Metazoa; Chordata; Mammalia; Rodentia; Muridae
Product: predicted gene, 57596
Exons: 2
Source: RefSeq, a predicted model, not a curated record